RNAcentral lists this ribosomal RNA (160 nucleotides) under bacterium 061212. RNAcentral describes it as "partial 16S rRNA". It matches the Rfam family "Bacterial small subunit ribosomal RNA", at positions 355 to 507 of the family's 1533-position model. The record is from RNAcentral.
UAGGGAAUCUUCCGCAAUGGACGAAAGUCUGACGGAGCAACGCCGCGUGAGUGAUGAAGGUUUUCGGAUCGUAAAACUCUGUUGUUAGGGAAGAACAAGUAUGAGAGUAACUGCUCGUACCUUGACGGUACCUAACCAGAAAGCCACGGCUAACUACGUG